UACGUAGGGGCAAGCGUUGUCCGGAAUUACUGGGCGUAAAGCGCACGCAGGCUGAAUUAUAAGUCGGUAGUCAAAGGCGGAGGCUCAACCUCUGUAUAUCUAUCGAUACUGUAAAUCUGGAGUAUGUGAGAGGGAAGCGGAAUUCCCGGUGUAGCGGUGAAAUGCGUAGAUAUUAGGAGGAACACCGGUGGCGAAGGCGGCUUACUGGACUGUAACUGACGCUGAGUCACGAAAGCGUGGGUAGCAAACAGGAUUAGAUACCCGGGUAGU
This 270-nucleotide ribosomal RNA is filed under the name uncultured prokaryote. RNAcentral's name for it is "partial 16S ribosomal RNA". It matches the Rfam family "Bacterial small subunit ribosomal RNA", at positions 524 to 794 of the family's 1533-position model. The record is from RNAcentral.